GAUCAAGUGUCAAAAGGGCAUUUGGUGGAUGCCUUGGCAUGCACAGGCGAUGAAGGACGUGAUACGCUGCGAUAAGCCGUGGGGAGCUGCGAAUGAGCUUUGAUCCAUGGAUCUCCGAAUGGGGCAACCCACCUUAAAUACUUGGAAAAUCAUUUUGGUUGUUGGACCUUUGGGUCCGACGGUACGGCGAACGAUCGCCGACGGCCUUUGGCCUUGCGGUGCUUCGCACCGAUCUCGUUUCCCUUGCGAGGGGACGGGUUCGAAGCGGAGCUUCGCAAGCGCAAAGCGCGUCGCCGGUCGUCCGGCGUUAAAAGAAACCAAAAUGGUUUCCAAGUAUUGUUACAAGGUAUCUUAUUCUGAAUACAUAGGGAUAAGAAGCGAACGCAGGGAACUGAAACAUCUAAGUACCUGCAGGAAAGGACAUCAACCGAGACUCCGCAAGUAGUGGCGAGCGAACGCGGACCAGGCCAGUGGCAAUGCGGAAUGAAGUGGAAUGAUCUGGAAAGGUCGGCCGUAGCGGGUGACAGCCCCGUACACGUAGAACACGCAUUGUCCUUGAGUAAGGCGGGACACGUGAAAUCCUGUCUGAACAUGGGGAGACCACUCUCCAAGCCUAAGUACUCGUGCAUGACCGAUAGCGAACAAGUACCGUGAGGGAAAGGUGAAAAGCACCCCGACAAGGGGAGUGAAAUAGAACCUGAAACCGGAUGCCUACAAACAGUCGGAGCCCGCCCUUCAAAUUCCUUGGAGGGGCGUUUCGAAUGUCUCGCCGUUUGCGGCGGGAAUUUGAAAGACUUUAAAGCGCCCUCAAAUGCAAGGCAUUUGAUGGGUGGGUGACGGCGUACCUUUUGUAUAAUGGGUCAACGACUUAGUGUGACAUGCAAGCUUAAGCCGGUAGGUGGAGGCGUAGCGAAAGCGAGUCUGAAUAGGGCGCCUUAGUAUGUCGCAUUAGACCCGAAACCGAGUGAUCUAGCCAUGAGCAGGUUGAAGGUUGGGUAACACCAACUGGAGGACCGAACCCGCAUCUGUUGCAAUAGAUUGGGAUGACUUGUGGCUAGGGGUGAAAGGCCAAUCAAACUCGGAAAUAGCUGGUUCUCCGCGAAAUCUAUUUAGGUAGAGCGUCGACCGAAUACCCCC
Molecule: non-coding RNA, 1137 nt
Filed under: Ensifer sp. LCM 4579
Lineage: Bacteria; Pseudomonadati; Pseudomonadota; Alphaproteobacteria; Hyphomicrobiales; Rhizobiaceae
Description: bacterial LSU rRNA
Rfam family: Bacterial large subunit ribosomal RNA
Source: RNAcentral